Molecule: ribosomal RNA, 274 nt
Filed under: uncultured bacterium
Lineage: Bacteria
Description: partial 16S ribosomal RNA
Rfam family: Bacterial small subunit ribosomal RNA
Source: RNAcentral
AUACGGAGGUUGCAAGCGUUAUCCGGAUUCAUUGGGUUUAAAGGGUACGUAGGCGGAUAGAUAAGUUAGUGGUGAAAUCCCGAAGCUCAACUUCGGAACUGCCAUUAAAACUGUCUAUCUUGAAUUUGGUUGAAGUGGGCGGAAUAUGACAUGUAGCGGUGAAAUGCAUAGAUAUGUCAUGGAACACCGAUAGUGAAGACAGCUCACUAAGCCAAUAUUGACGCUGAGGUACGAAAGCAUGGGUAGCGAACAGGAUUAGAAACCCCUGUAGUCC